RNAcentral lists this transfer RNA (64 nucleotides) under Marenzelleria neglecta. RNAcentral describes it as "tRNA-Ala". Lineage: Eukaryota; Metazoa; Annelida; Polychaeta; Spionida; Spionidae. The record is from RNAcentral.
GCCAUGCUAAUUUAAAAAGAAUACUUGAUUUGCAAUUAAGUUGUAAGGCUAUGCCUUGCACGGU